GACGAACGCUGGCGGCGUGCUUAACACAUGCAAGUCGAACGGAAAGGCCCUGCUUUUGUGGGGUGCUCGAGUGGCGAACGGGUGAGUAACACGUGAGUAACCUGCCCUUGACUUUGGGAUAACUUCAGGAAACUGGGACUAAUACCGGAUAGGAGCUCCUGCUGCAUGGUGGGGGUUGGAAAGUUUCGGCGGUUGUGGAUAGACUCGCGGCUUAUCAGCUUGUUGGUGGGGUAGUGGCUUACCAAGGCUUUGACGGGUAGCCGGCCUGAGAGGGUGACCGGGCACCAUGCGACUGCGAUACGGCCCAGAAUCCUAUCGGAGGCAGUAGUCGGGAAUCUUGCACAAUGGGCGGAAGCGUGAUGCAGCAACCCUGCGUGCGGGAUGACGGCCUUCGGGUUGUAAACCGAUUUCGCCUUUGACGAAGAGUGAGUGACGGUACUGGGUAAAGAAGCAACGGCUAACUACGUG
This 468-nucleotide ribosomal RNA is filed under the name uncultured bacterium. Its description in RNAcentral is "partial 16S ribosomal RNA". It matches the Rfam family "Bacterial small subunit ribosomal RNA", at positions 28 to 507 of the family's 1533-position model. The record is from RNAcentral.